Sturnus vulgaris (Common starling) is the source of this 636-nucleotide non-coding RNA. Lineage: Eukaryota; Metazoa; Chordata; Aves; Passeriformes; Sturnidae. The record is from RefSeq and is a predicted model, not a curated record.
GAUGUCUGUCUCCUUAUAUUAACAGAAAAGAAAAGAACUGUAACCCAGGUGUGAACCCAAAGCCUGUAGCAAUAAUUGACAGCAAUAACCAUACCUUUUUGUCUCGAGGUCACUGGCAAGCAUGUAACAAGAACUGACUCAGAACUUGUUGGUGCCCUGGCAGGCAGCUAAACAGCAAAUGGCAUUGGAAGAAUUUCUGCUGGACCAGCCCUGACACUCUCCAGAAGAGCUUUGGCCAUGAACCAAGUGAACCCUCAGGACUUGUUCUGCUCAUUUCUUCUGGAAAGGGACAUGGAAUGAGCAUCUUUACAGUUGCUGAGUAAAUCCUGGAAGGGGUGGGAAGAGUUUGGUACUGAUGUGUAAAGCAGCAUUAACAGAAAAGAAGGAGCUGCAUUAGCAUAAGAAUUCCCUUGCUGGCAGCAGCUGUUCCCACCCCAGGCAGGACCUUCCUCAUGACCCUGAGAUUGGCUCAGGCGCUUGGAGCAGGGUGCUAAGAAGGCCAAGAUUCUGAAUUCAGUCCCCACAUGGGCCAAGCACUUACCACAGUUUGACUUAAUGAUCCUCCUGGCUCUUUCCAACUCAGAAUCUCCUGUGCUCUGGAAAUAAAAAGUAAACCGUUUUCACUGGCUUUUUAAA